CCUACGGGAGGCAGCAGUAGGGAAUCUUGCGCAAUGGGCGAAAGCCUGACGCAGCCAUGCCGCGUGAAUGAUGAAGGUCUUAGGAUUGUAAAAUUCUUUCACCGGGGACGAUAAUGACGGUACCCGGAGAAGAAGCCCCGGCUAACUUCGUGCCAGCAGCCGCGGUAAUACGAAGGGGGCUAGCGUUGCUCGGAAUUACUGGGCGUAAAGGGAGCGUAGGCGGAUAGUUUAGUCAGAGGUGAAAGCCCAGGGCUCAACCUUGGAACUGCCUUUGAUACUGGCUAUCUUGAGUACGGGAGAGGUGUGUGGAACUCCGAGUGUAGAGGUGAAAUUCGUAGAUAUUCGGAAGAACACCAGUGGCGAAGGCGACACACUGGCCCGUUACUGACGCUGAGGCUCGAAAGCGUGGGGAGCAAACAGGAUUAGAUACCCUGGUAGUCCACGCCGUAAACGAUGAGUGCUAGUUGUCGGCANGCAUGCAUGUCGGUGACGCAGCUACGACAUAAGUACACNCCGCCGUCGGGAGGUACGGUCGCGAGAGUAAACGUACUAAUUAGAAGUUAGUUACGGCGUGAGACGNGCCGACGGACGACGACGAGGGAGGAGG
RNAcentral lists this ribosomal RNA (607 nucleotides) under uncultured bacterium. Its description in RNAcentral is "bacterial SSU rRNA". The stretch from base 1 to 518 matches the Rfam family "Bacterial small subunit ribosomal RNA", at positions 338 to 873 of the family's 1533-position model. The record is from RNAcentral.